UCCUUCACUUUAAAGUCCGUUAUAUGGAGGUUUCACAUUUAGCGGAACCUCGAUUUAACGAUCUUCCUUCACUUUAAAGUCCGUUAUAUGGAGGUUUCACGGUAUACAAAGUUGGAAUUGUAUUGGACGUGUCUGCUAUGAAGGGCUGAGAGAGAGAGAGGGGGCUUGUUCUCGCCCUUUCUCCCCUACCUCGUCAAUAUCCUUCCCUACCGAGUCUGGAAUUUCCCUCUUUCCUUCCCUAACUCGUAAAUAUUCCUUCUUAUCUGCUCAAGGAAUAAGAUAUUUUCCCUUUUUUUUUAUUUCUCCAAAGAACUUGAGAUAAAUAUUUUUCACAUUGUUCAAAAUUUUCCCAGUUUCUUCCCCCCCCAACCAGGACAAAAUAUCCCAAAUUUUCCCCCUACCACCCACAGCCUCAUAACUCCCUUAAUUUCACCCUUACCAACUCAUAACUCCCUUAUUUUCUCCCUUACCAACUCAUAAUUCCCUUAUUUUCUCCCUUACCAACUCAUAAUUCCCUUAUUUUCUCCCUUACCAACUCAUAACCCCCUUAUUUUCUCCCUUACCAACUCAUAAUUCCCUUAUUUUCUCCCUUACCAACUCAUAACUCCCUUAUUUUCUCCCUUACCAACUCAUAACUCCCUUAUUUUCUCCCUUACCAGCAUCUAACACGUCCCUCCCGCUUGCCUACCCCUUCAGGAGAGCCCUUGACGGCCCCGCAGCUGGUGGGGGCGAGGGAGAUUUACGAGGCGACAGAGCUCAUCAAGAUCGGCUGCCAACCUAGACCACCUCUACCUGCCGACCACAGACCCACACUACAAUGGUACCUCGAAGGAACUCAGGUGGGAUCCAACUUCGUCAAAUCUUAUCGACUGAGUCACCUCCACGAUUAUUAUGGCCUGUCUCUCCACGUGCCGGGACAACAGAUAGCAGAGGCGGGGGGUUCACUACAAGCAGAGUGUCGCCUGAGCCUUGGGUCUCAUCACCACAGUGCUUAUCAGACCCUGAGAGUAAGGGUCCGCAUGAUCUCUUAUAUCGACAACUACCACUCCGCAGGCACCAAGACCACCAGCAUCACCCAGCUCGUAUACUCCUCCUGGCUCCUGCUGGUGACUGCGGGUAUUCUCUUCGUGUAGGAUCUCCUUCAGCAGCGUCACUACACACACACAUCCCCGUCAGGAGGAAUGGAAUAACGAAUACAAGCAGAAAAAUUAUAUUAGUUUUAUGUGUGUGUGUGUGUGUGUGUGUGUGUGUUAAUAUAUUUGUGUGUGUUGUCUG
This is a long non-coding RNA of Homarus americanus (American lobster), 1275 nucleotides long. RefSeq lists it as uncharacterized. NCBI's taxonomy places the organism in Eukaryota, Metazoa, Arthropoda, Malacostraca, Decapoda, Nephropidae. The record is from RefSeq and is a predicted model, not a curated record. The transcript is spliced from 4 exons.